RNAcentral lists this ribosomal RNA (677 nucleotides) under uncultured archaeon. RNAcentral's name for it is "bacterial SSU rRNA". It matches the Rfam family "Archaeal small subunit ribosomal RNA", at positions 7 to 690 of the family's 1478-position model. The record is from RNAcentral.
AUUGAUCCUGCCGGACCUGACUGCUAUCGGAUUGGUACUAAGCCAUGCGAGUCGUUGUAGCAAUACAUGGCGGACUGCUCAGUAACACGUAGUUAACUUAACCUAUGGAUGGGAAUAACCUCGGGAAACUGAGAAUAAUACCCAAUGGGCCACAGUGCCUGGAAUGGCCUGUGGUUGAAAUGAUUUAUCGCCGUAGGAUAGGACUGCGGCCUAUCAGCUUGUUGGUGAGGUAAUGGCCCACCAAGGCUAUAACAGGUACGGGCUCUGAGAGGAGGGGCCCGGAGAUGGGUACUGAGACACGGACCCAGGCCCUAUGGGGCGCAGCAGGCGAGAAACCUUUGCAAUGUGCGAAAGCACGACAAGGUUAAUCCGAGUGUCUCCUGCUAAAGGAGUCUUUUGUCAGUUGUAGAAUCACUGGUGAACAAGGGGUGGGCAAGUUCUGGUGUCAGCCGCCGCGGUAAAACCAGCACCUCGAGUGGUCAGGAGGUUUAUUGGGCCUAAAGCAUCCGUAGCCGGUUGCAUAAGUUUUCGGUUAAAUCUAUGCGCUUAACGUAUAGGCCGCCGAAAAUACUGUGCAGCUAGGGAGUGGGAGAGGUACACGGUACUCGAUACGAAGGGGUAAAAUCCUUUGAUCUAUUGAAGACCAACUGUGGCGAAGGCGGUGUACCAGAACACGU